UUGUUCAUUCCUCUUCAUUCAUCACCUUACGCGAAGCCAAUUGCAAAAACGAGAACGCGUAUAUCUUCAUUCCCAAAUCGCCAAAUCCCUAAAAAUCCCAAAGCGCCAUCUUCAUUGAAUCCAAUCAUUCCCAAUUUCUUCAAUCAUUCUCCAAUCUCUUCGUUUUCAUUCGUUUUGAUUCGGUUUCAUUCUCCAAACCCUAGACGGCCGACCCCUUUUUCAUUCGUUGUCAACGAUUUCAUCCCGUCUUCGAUUCCCUUUUGUUCGCCGUCAACGAUUCCCUUCCAUCAACCUUCAGUUCUCAUCACCGUUGAACUCAAGCCGCCGUUUCUUCGAUUCUCAUCAUAAACCCAGUCGCUGUUUCACAUAGAUUGAUUUGAGAUGUUUACAUGGUAAGCAUAGGUAUUGAGUUUCCUGUUGAAUGCGCUCAAGGAUGUAUGAGAUAUAUUGGUAUUUAUGCUCGAUUUUAUGCUCGAUCAUAUUUCAUUUUAAUAUAUUUCAUAUGUGAUGUCUCAGGGAUGGUUUGUGGUAGUAGGCUCAGUGUGGGGGUGGUGUCGAUUUUAUGCCUCCAAAAGCUUAUGUAGUCCGCUCUGCUAUUUUUCUUGUUUUUUCUGCGUUUUUCCUUGUCUUUGGCUGUGAGAUUUGGUUCUCUGCUUUCCUGACUGUGUGAUUUGGUUCCCUGCAUUUUUUGUUUUCGUGGCUGCAUCUACUGUGUUGAGGUUAGGGUCACCUGAUGCAUACCCAGCAAAUUGUUAAGAUUUUAUGCUUCUUAGCUAAGUAAUGUAGACAUUAUAACCCUUAGAACUCAACCAUUCCCUAUCUAAGAAUAUCUAAGGAUAUGGGUUUUCAAGAUUUUCACUUGAGGUAUAAUAUUAUCAAGGUUUGUCUGUGGGAAAUGGAUUCUAAACUGAAAUUAUCAAAGAGACCUAUUCUUGGUAUAAAGGUUUGGGCAAUAAUUUCAAUUUUGGUUCGUUUGUCAACUAUAAUUCUCACUGUUCUUUGACUGUGUUUUACUUCAAGAAAGAAAUCUAGAAAAGAAAAUGAACUUGGUGAAGGCUGGAUAUGGAGUGGUUUAUUAGGGACAGUUGAUCAAUGGGAGUGCAUUAACAGUUAAAAAGAUACUCAAUAAUAUGGACUUGAGUUGUAUGGUGAUACAAGAUUUUUGCUUUAUGGGCCUCCAAGUUGUGGUAGAACACAAAUUGCCAAAACUGUUACCAAUGAGGCGGGAUCUAAUUUCAUUUAUAUUAAGUUCGUGGCUGUGAAGUGAAGACUGCUACAUAACACAUCAAGUAGCCACUCAUCCAAAUUAGCUUAACUCAGUCAACUAUCUCUAUGCUCAAAUUAAAUGAUGCAAAUGUGGUGGACUGCAUCUAUAACAAGGUGAAAAUUGCAGCCAUUGAAAUGGUGGUCCAAGACUGUAGGGAGGUGUUGUAUGGUAUGUCAAAUGUUAGUGUCUUGUUUGUUGGUAGAAGUCUUAAUGUUGAUGAUCAUAACAUGGCCUCUUUGGUAGAAAUCUUAAUGUUAAGUAUUGACUUUUAAUGUGUUGAAUGUAACUUUGUUAGCUUGUUAAUUAGUAUUUUAUGACUUGUGACUUGUGGAAUUGACAAUGACUUGUGAUGGAAUUGGUAUUUUAUGAAGGAUUGGUAUUUUAGAAUUGGUAUUUUAGGAAUUGGUAUUUUAGGAUUGGUAUUUUAGGAAUUGGUAUUUUAGGACUGUUUAUCAGGUGAUGGAAUUGGUAUUUUAGGAUGUGCAUACUGUUCUAGAGUUUUGAUUUUU
Long non-coding RNA from Trifolium pratense (red clover), 1776 nucleotides. RefSeq lists it as uncharacterized. Lineage: Eukaryota; Viridiplantae; Streptophyta; Magnoliopsida; Fabales; Fabaceae. The record is from RefSeq and is a predicted model, not a curated record. The transcript is spliced from 5 exons.